Molecule: ribosomal RNA, 2322 nt
Filed under: Haloferax marisrubri
Lineage: Archaea; Methanobacteriati; Methanobacteriota; Halobacteria; Halobacteriales; Haloferacaceae
Description: bacterial LSU rRNA
Rfam family: Archaeal large subunit ribosomal RNA
Source: RNAcentral
GACUUGAGUGAAGCCGAUGUUACGUCGUGCGUUUUGAAAAACGAACCAUGGAGUGCAUCUGACUGGCGAGUCUAAGGGGUGAACCCCCGGAGGCAUAGGGAAACCGAUACGGCCGCAGUCUUUGACCAGGGCCACCGUCUUCAAGGGCGGGGAGCCAACCGGAUGCGACCCGAAACCAAGUGAUCUACGCCGGAGCAGGGCGAAGCGUGGCGAAAGCUGCGUGGAGGCCCGUUAGAGUUGGUGUCCUACAAUACCCUCUCGUGACUCUGGUGUAGGGGUGAAAGGCCCAUCGAACUUGGCAACAGCUGGUUCCAACCGAAACAUGUCGAAGCAUGACCUCUGAUGAGAUAGUUCGUGAGGUAGAGCGACCGAUUGGGAAUCCGGACUCCGAGAGGAGUUCGCUUCCCUGUCAAACUCCGAACUUACGAACGUCGUAGACUCAGGGAGUCCGGUGUGCGGGGUAAGCUUGUGCACCGUGAGGGAGACAACCCAGAGCCAGGUUAAGGACCCAAAGUGUGGAUUAAGUGUGAUUGAAGAUUGUCUCGAGCCCUAAACAGCCGGGAGGUGAGCUUAGAAGCAGCUACCCUCUAAGAAUAGCGUAACAGCUUACCGGCCGAGGUUCGAGGCGUCGAAAAUGAUCGGGACUCAAAUCCACCUCCGAGACCUGGCGGCGUGUCUUAUGACACGAUUCCGUAGGUUGGCAUACUGCAUGGGUGGAAGCACGGGUGAGAACUCGUGUGGACCGUGCAGCAACGAAAAUCAUGGUCUCAGUAGCAGCGAGAGUCGGGUGUGAACCCCGACGGCCUUACGCGCAAGGGUUCCUCGGCACUGUCAAUCAGCCGAGGGUUAGUCGAUCCUAAGUCUAUCCGUAAUUCGAAAUAGAUGAAAGGGAAACUGGUUAAUAUUCCAGUACCUUCUUGCACCAAACGUCGACGCUUUAGGAAACACCGAGCGGGGCCUUCGCCCCGUCGAAUCACCGAAAUUCGUGGAAGCCGUAACGGCACGAAGCGAACGAAUGGUGAGAUAGAGAAAUUCGGCGGUACCUAGAGCCCGUGAAAAGACAAGCAAGAAGCUCGUACCGAGAUCCGACACAGGUGCGCUGGCAGAGCAAGCCAAGGCCUGUCGGGAUCAACCGACGUUAGGGAAUUCGGCAAGUUAGUCCCGUAAGUUCGCGAUAAGGGAUGCCUGCUCUUGACCGAGCAGGUCGCAGUGACUCGGACGCUCCGACUGUCUAGUAACAACAUAGGUGACCGCAAAUCCGCAAGGACUCGUACGGUCACUGAAUCCUGCCCAGUGCGGGUAUCUGAACACCUAGUACAAUAGGACGAAGGACCCGUCAACGGCGGGGGUAACUAUGACCCUCUUAAGGUAGCGUAGUACCUUGCCGCUUCAGUAGCGGCUUGCAUGAAUGGAUCAACGAGAGCGUCACUGUCCCAACGUUGGGCCCGGUGAACAGUACGUUCCAGUGCGGAGUCUGGAGACCCCCAAGGGGAAGCGAAGACCCUAUAGAGCUUUACUGCAGGCUGUCGCUGAGACGUGGUCGCUAAUGUGCAGCAUAGGUAGGAGCCAUUACACAGGUACCCGCGCCAGCGGGCCACCGAGGCAUCAUUGAAAUACUACCCGUUAGUGACUGCGACUCUCACUCCUGGCGGAGGACACCGGUAGCCGGGCAGUUUGACUGGGGCGGUACGCGCUCGAAAAGAUAUCGAGCGCGCCCAAAGAUUUCCUCACGCGAGUCGGGAACUCGUGGAAGAGCGCAAGAGCAAACGGAAGUCUGACAGUGACAUUCCCAACGAGUGUCGCUGACGCGAAAGCGUGGUCUAGCGAACCUACGAGGUUCAUUCAUGGGACCCGUAGAUGACAGAAAAGCUACCUUAGGGAUAACAGAGUCGUCACCGGCAAGAGCACAUAUCGACCCGGUGGCUUGCUACCUCGAUGUCGGUUCCCUCCAUCCUGCCUGUGCAGAAGCAGGCAAGGGUGAGGUUGUUCGCCUAUUAAAGGAGGUCGUGAGCUGGGUUUAGACCGUCGUGAGACAGGUCGGCUGCUAUCUAUUGGGGGUGUUAAGGAACUUGACGUGAACGUUCGUAUAGUACGAGAGGAACUACGAAUGGGUGCCACUGGUGUACCGGUUGUCCGAGAGGGCAGAUGCCGGGCAGCUACGCACCACGGGGUAAGAGCUGAACGCAUCUAAGCUCGAAACCCACACGGAAAAGAAGUUCCACUGAGGACACUCGUAGAAGACGAGUUCGAUAGACUCGGGGUGUACGCAACGAGGCAACGAGUUGUUAAGCCCGCGAGCACUAACAGUCCAAGCCACAUUCA